This 369-nucleotide long non-coding RNA is filed under the name Chinchilla lanigera (long-tailed chinchilla). RNAcentral's name for it is "lncRNA (ENSCLAG00000025171.1)". The record is from RNAcentral. Lineage: Eukaryota; Metazoa; Chordata; Mammalia; Rodentia; Chinchillidae.
UCCCUCAUGCUCUGUAUACCUCUCUCCUUUUCUUAAGCGUGCCUGUGUUUCUUCUGCAUUUCCCAGUUGGCACUGCCAUAUGAGGGACUUCAGGGAUCUAGAGAGAAGAACUGUGCAUCCUGAGGUCCUCAGAGAAGCCGACGAGUCCUCAAAUGCUUGUGGAUUGACUUAUUUGGGGUAGCAGUGGAUGUUUGAUGAAGCACUUCACAUAUGGCAGAUUCCAGAGUCAUAGUGUGAAGAUCUGCACACCCCGAGAGUCCCAGAGAGCUCCACAGACUGCAGUGCUGUUAAGGGGCUGCUUUUGAAUGAAGGUACUGUAUGUGGAAUCAUGCAAUAGUGGUUAAAUUUUCUUAACAAUUCAGGCACCAG